This 69-nucleotide transfer RNA is filed under the name Onthophagus baolocensis. RNAcentral describes it as "tRNA-Met". The record is from RNAcentral. Lineage: Eukaryota; Metazoa; Arthropoda; Insecta; Coleoptera; Scarabaeidae.
GAAAAGAUAAGUUAAAUUAAACUUUUAGGUUCAUACCCUAAUUAUAGAGAUAAAACUCUCUUCUUCUCA